This 253-nucleotide ribosomal RNA is filed under the name uncultured bacterium. RNAcentral's name for it is "partial 16S ribosomal RNA". It matches the Rfam family "Bacterial small subunit ribosomal RNA", at positions 524 to 776 of the family's 1533-position model. The record is from RNAcentral.
UACGAAGGGGGCGAGCGUUGUUCGGAAUUACUGGGCGUAAAGGGCGCGUAGGCGGCCGAGCAAGUUAGAUGUGAAAGUCCUGGGCUUAACCUGGGGACUGCAUUUGAUACUGCUUGGCUUGAAUUCGGGAGAGGAUAGCGGAAUUCCCAGUGUAGAGGUGAAAUUCGUAGAUAUUGGGAAGAACACCAGUGGCGAAGGCGGCUCACUGGCCCGUAACUGACGCUGAGGUGCGAAAGCGUGGGGAGCAAACAGG